UUUCCGUAGGUGAACCUGCGGAAGGAUCAUUAAUGAAUACAACUGGGUUGUUGCUGGCUUCAAACGGAGCAUGUGCACACCCUGUAUCCAUAUACACCUGUGAACUUUCUGUGGGGUUGGCGAAAGCCCUCUCCAUGUUUUUACACACACAAUAUAAUUUAUUAGAAUGUCUACUGCGAUAAUACGCAUAAAUACAACUUUCAACAACGGAUCUCUUGGCUCUCGCAUCGAUGAAGAACGCAGC
RNAcentral lists this unclassified non-coding RNA (244 nucleotides) under uncultured fungus. RNAcentral describes it as "sequence contains ITS1, 5.8S rRNA gene". The stretch from base 196 to 244 matches the Rfam family "5.8S ribosomal RNA", at positions 1 to 49 of the family's 154-position model. Lineage: Eukaryota; Fungi. The record is from RNAcentral.